AUCGCUUCUCUUCCUUUUGGCUAAGAUCAAGUAUAGUAUCUGUUCUUAAGGAAGAGCCUCGUCUCACCCCUCCUGACGCAGCAGAUUAUAAAAUUUGAUCAUUUAUUGGCCAAAAGCUGGCAGAAGCUUGAGAUGUUGUGUCUUGGGGGUGGACCACCGGGGAUGCAUAAACUUAC
Molecule: small nuclear RNA, 176 nt
Organism: Xenopus tropicalis (tropical clawed frog)
Lineage: Eukaryota; Metazoa; Chordata; Amphibia; Anura; Pipidae
Gene: U2
Rfam family: U2 spliceosomal RNA
About the family: U2 is a small nuclear RNA (snRNA) component of the spliceosome (involved in pre-mRNA splicing). Complementary binding between U2 snRNA (in an area lying towards the 5' end but 3' to hairpin I) and the branchpoint sequence (BPS) of the intron results the bulging out of an unpaired adenosine, on the BPS, which initiates a nucleophilic attack at the intronic 5' splice site, thus starting the first of two transesterification reactions that mediate splicing.
Source: Ensembl